UGGCAAGCGUUAUCCGGAUUUAUUGGGUUUAAAGGGUGCGCAGGCGGAAUGUCAAGUCAGCGGUAAAAUCGCGGGGCUCAACCCCGUCGAGCCGUUGAUACUGGGAGGCUUGAGUUGGAGAGAAGUAGGCGGAAUGCGCGGUGUAGCGGUGAAAUGCAUAGAUAUCGCGCAGAACUCCGAUUGCGAAGGCAGCCUGCCGGCUCCGUACUGACGCUGAGGCACGAAAGCGUGGGGAUCGAAC
This 241-nucleotide ribosomal RNA is filed under the name uncultured bacterium. RNAcentral's name for it is "partial 16S ribosomal RNA". It matches the Rfam family "Bacterial small subunit ribosomal RNA", at positions 532 to 773 of the family's 1533-position model. The record is from RNAcentral.